CCUUUAUUUGAAUAAACUAUUCAAGAUUUUUAAAAAAGCCACUGUUAAAAUAUGUAAAUUGAUCCAGGGAAGAACGCUCGGCUCACACGUAGUCUUUCAUAUCUCGAUGUUGUCCAUUACAAAGUGCAUCUCCUUUCCACUUUUUCAUGUCAUCUUGUCUUUAUUGGCAGCUUGUGUGCUGCUCUCUAUUGAUGAGAUCGUGCUGGCCCGUCCUGUGCUCUUCAGCGGAGAUCCAGAAGAGGAUGUGAUGUGAUGGACCACGAAAGGGCUGAUUCAGGCAGCGGCUCUCAGGGCUCUGUCAGGAGGCCUGCUACUCUUCCCACAACUCCCAGAAGUCCACACUGUUCCGGACAACAGAUAAAGUGCAGCAGUCACGGUUUUGAAAGCUACAGACUUUGAAACAUGAGAUGUGCAACAGAUUUAGGGUGAAGUUGUGUCUGAUUCAACCCGAGAAACCUACAAUCACCCGCUGAUGACCCCUUUACACUGCGAAUGAACCUUGGUGCUGCCCCAAAGAAGAAAAACAACUGGCGAUAUCUACUCUGCAAACGCUUCAGCAGGGCUCCGUUACAGCACCG
This is a long non-coding RNA of Cyprinus carpio (common carp), 578 nucleotides long. NCBI's taxonomy places the organism in Eukaryota, Metazoa, Chordata, Actinopteri, Cypriniformes, Cyprinidae. The record is from Ensembl.